This 235-nucleotide ribosomal RNA is filed under the name uncultured bacterium. Its description in RNAcentral is "partial 16S ribosomal RNA". It matches the Rfam family "Bacterial small subunit ribosomal RNA", at positions 15 to 244 of the family's 1533-position model. The record is from RNAcentral.
GAUCUGGCUCAGAUUGAACGCUGGCGGCAGGCCUAACACAUGCAAGUCGAACGGUAACAGGAAGCAGCUUGCUGCUUUGCUGACGAGUGGCGGACGGGUGAGUAAUGUCUGGGAAACUGCCUGAUGGAGGGGGAUAACUACUGGAAACGGUAGCUAAUACCGCAUAACGUCGCAAGACCAAAGAGGGGGGACCUUCGGGCCGUCUUGCCAUCGGAUGUGCCCACGAUGGGAUUAG